This is a non-coding RNA of Nelumbo nucifera (sacred lotus), 2066 nucleotides long. NCBI's taxonomy places the organism in Eukaryota, Viridiplantae, Streptophyta, Magnoliopsida, Proteales, Nelumbonaceae. The record is from RefSeq and is a predicted model, not a curated record.
AUGCUUACAUGGAAUUGGAAUUAAAGCUUGAAGACCCAUGAUGGCAGUAAUUAAGCAAAAAGCAGCAUUUUGACUCCUGCUCUCAUGCAGAACACCUGAUAGAAUAAAACUUGAAUCCUAUUUGGGUUAAAUUUCAUAGUCGGAUGAGAUACCGUGCAUAGCUGGUUACUUGGUUAGCUGUGAUCUUUGAAACUUUGGAGGUUCUUGGAUUUCUUACUGCUACCAACUCCUGAAAUUCAACUGGCUCUUUUAAUACUGUGUCUUUGUUGCUGCAACUAUUAUAUUCUUUUCUCUGUGCCUUAGCAAAGAGGAUGGUUCUUCAAUAAAAUCUGUAAAUUCUUUGUUUAGUUAUGGUAUAAGCCUUCCAGAAAACAUUGUUUUAAGAUCAGAGCUUGCUGGAACUGGGUCUCCUGAUGCUGUCUACUCAUUAACAGAAUUUCGAGUGAGAUCAAAAGUUGGAGGAAUUGCCCAGAACAUAGCGUCUUUGAGUUCUUUGCUUUGCCAGACCAUCAGCCAAACUGUUUGCAAACCUCCUAAUCCAUCUUAUUUGGAUCAUCAUAUCUUUACAUAUCUGCUUGAAUCUCCUGAAUUCAUUCCUUAACUUUUGGAUCACCUUAAAUAAUCAGCUUAGUAAUCCCCAUUUCUUUAGCUUUCUCUACUCCAUAGACUGCUGCCAAUAAUUCUGAUCUCACCUUAAAUAAUCAGCUUAGUAAUCUCCUUUUUAUAUUUAUGCUGGUGGGUCAUCCUAUUGUGCUCCUAUUCGAUCAAUACCAAACAAAAGUACAUCUUACUGCCAAGAUUUGGGCAACUUUGACAGUUUUCCUUUCUUUAGGGUUGAGUUUGAGGGAUUGGAGAAUUUGCAAAAGCCUGGUACCCCUGCUGUAUAUGUUUUCAAUCACCAGAGAUUUCUAGAUAUUUUAUUACCCUUCUGAUUCUUGGGAGAAGCUUCACGUUUAUCAGCAAGACUGGGAUGUUUGCCUUCCUGUUGUUGGUGGAUAAUGUUCCUUAUGGGUACUAUUCCUUUGAAGCAAAUGGAUAGAAGAAGUCAAUUGGAAUAUAAGAAGAGGGGUGGAGUGGAGGCCUGGGAUAUCCAAUUCUUCAUUGUGGGGAACACCCUCUAUUAGUUUCAUAUUACUUUUCUUUGCUUGAAGAUUUAUACAUUAAUUUUCUACUCUUAGUUAGUUAUCCAACCAAGGUGAAAUAAAUGGGUAGAAUGUGAGGAUGUGAAGAGGUAAGAGAUGGGAAAGAAAACCUUAUAAACAAUUCUAUUCAAUGUUCUAUUUAUAUACUUUGAUGUCAUCCGGCAAUUACAUGUGCAAGGAAUACCCCACCUUAAUGAGAGUACACGUAGAAAGUCUGUUUCUGGCAGACCUCCCCAUUUUUAUAUUAAUAAACAAGAAUAGUAAUCACUAAUUAAAGGGCAAAAAGUAUUAAGGAGAAUAAUCAAUUAUGUAACUGACUUAGAUGGCCUAAUCUUUCCCUUGGAAAUCAGGACAGCAACUAAUUACUUGAUGCUGGGUUUUUAUAGUUGCCUAAGUUAUAAGCAAAAACUUCCCUGUUAAAGUUGGAAUUUCAGAAAGAGAGUUUCUGAAAGUAAAACGGAAGAGAUAGAGAUCACUUGUUUAGAAAUAAAUGCUUGUAAUUUGCUUCAAUUAAUAUAACACAUGCAGGAUCUUUCUGUGAUUUUUGGUUUUAGCAUUAUUCGAGUAGUAUGGAGUGCAAAUAUUCCCAUUAGCAAAUCAUUUGAUCGACCCUCCUCCAAGUUGAAAUGUUGUGGUGGUUGAGGCAACAGACAGAGACACCCACCAACUCCAAAAAGAAGAAAUUUUUUGCUUUAACAACUGUUUCUGAACUUUCUUCAGUGAUAAGUCGGGCCACUUUAGGAUGUCUUUUCAUCUUUGGCAAAGAAAAGUUGGAUCUUUGUAAGAACCGCCCCUAGGCCAUGAAGUAUGCAAAUACCAUAUCUGACAUGGAAUAUAUUGAUCGAUGCUGAUACUCCUACUUAAAUUCUCAUUUGCUAGAUUUCGUUCUGAGAUGGAGACAAAUUUUUUAUUUCUUCAAUUAUU